This 399-nucleotide ribosomal RNA is filed under the name Triticum aestivum (bread wheat). RNAcentral's name for it is "partial small subunit ribosomal RNA". Lineage: Eukaryota; Viridiplantae; Streptophyta; Magnoliopsida; Poales; Poaceae. The record is from RNAcentral.
AUGCCUAGGUGCACCUCGUCGGUCAACUACCAAACGGAGACAGCGACCAUGUCGGAGCUCAUCUGCAACGGCUGCUUCAGCCUGGUGCUCUACAACCGCACCGCAGCCAACGUACGCUGCUCCCGGUGCAACAUGCUCAACUCCACAAGAUCAGCGAGCCAGUACGCCCACCUGAAGUGCGGUGGCUGCCGGACGACGCUCAUGUACCCGCCGGGGGCCUCCACCGUGGGGUGCGCCACGUGCCACCACGUCAACCCCGUCAGAGCCCAGGGCUCCUCGGCUCCUCCGGAUGCCCAUGCGCGGCCUCAGACAGUUCUCGUGGAGAAUCCCAGGACAAUGAACGACAAGGGCAAACUGGUCAGCAAUGUGGCGGUCGGUGUCACUUCAUGGAAAAGAUGA